GAUGAACGCUGACAGAAUGCUUAACACAUGCAAGUCUACUUGAAUUUGGGUUUUUUAACUUAGAUUUGGGUGGCGGACGGGUGAGUAACGCGUAAAGAACUUGCCUCACAGCUAGGGACAACAUUUGGAAACGAAUGCUAAUACCUGAUAUUAUGAUUAUAAGGCAUCUUAGAAUUAUGAAAGCUAUAUGCACUGUGAGAGAGCUUUGCGUCCCAUUAGCUAGUUGGAGAGGUAACGGCUCACCAAGGCGAUGAUGGGUAGCCGGCCUGAGAGGGUGAACGGCCACAAGGGGACUGAGACACGGCCCUUACUCCUACGGGAGGCAGCAGUGGGGAAUAUUGGACAAUGGACCAAGAGUCUGAUCCAGCAAUUCUGUGUGCACGAUGACGUUUUUCGGAAUGUAAAGUGCUUUCAGUUGGGAAGAAAAAAAUGACGGUACCAACAGAAGAAG
Molecule: ribosomal RNA, 451 nt
Filed under: Fusobacterium sp. oral taxon 203
Lineage: Bacteria; Fusobacteriati; Fusobacteriota; Fusobacteriia; Fusobacteriales; Fusobacteriaceae
Description: bacterial SSU rRNA
Rfam family: Bacterial small subunit ribosomal RNA
Source: RNAcentral